RNAcentral lists this ribosomal RNA (774 nucleotides) under uncultured Leptotrichia sp. RNAcentral describes it as "bacterial SSU rRNA". It matches the Rfam family "Bacterial small subunit ribosomal RNA", at positions 63 to 856 of the family's 1533-position model. The record is from RNAcentral. Lineage: Bacteria; Fusobacteriati; Fusobacteriota; Fusobacteriia; Fusobacteriales; Leptotrichiaceae.
CAUUGGCGAAGCUGCGCUUGCGCAGCCUAGCCAAGGCGGACGGGUGAGUAACGCGUAAGGAAUUUGCCCUGCAGACAGGGAUAACAGACGGAAACGACUGAUAACACCUGGUAUUGUCAGGCUGGCGCAUGCCGGCCUGAUGAAAGGAGACGCUGCAGGAGAGCCUUGCGUCCUAUUAGCUAGUUGGUGGGGUAACGGCCCACCAAGGCGAUGAUAGGUAGCCGGCCUGAGAGGGUGAACGGCCACAAGGGGACUGAGAUACGGCCCUUACUCCUACGGGAGGCAGCAGUGGGGAAUAUUGGACAAUGGGGGCAACCCUGAUCCAGCAAUUCUGUGUGCACGAAGAAGGUUUUCGGAUUGUAAAGUGCUUUCAGCAGGGAAGAAGAAAGUGACGGUACCUGCAGAAGAAGCGACGGCUAAAUACGUGCCAGCAGCCGCGGUAAUACGUAUGUCGCAAGCGUUAUCCGGAAUUAUUGGGCAUAAAGGGCAUCUAGGCGGCCCUGUAAGUCUAGGGUGAAAACCUGCGGCUCAACCGCAGGCCUGCCCCGGAAACUACAGGGCUAGAGUAUCGGAGAGGUGGACGGAACUGCACGAGUAGAGGUGAAAUUCGUAGAUAUGUGCAGGAAUGCCGAUGAUGAAGAUAGUUCACUGGACGGUAACUGGCGCUGAAGUGCGAAAGCUAGGGGAGCAAACAGGAUUAGAUACCCUGGUAGUCCUAGCUGUAAACGAUGAUUACUGGGUGUGGGCAUGAAGAGUGUCCGUGCCGAAGCAAAU